GACGAACGCUGGCGGCGUGCUUAACACAUGCAAGUCGAACGGAAAGGCCUCUUUCGGGGGGUACUCGAGUGGCGAACGGGUGAGUAACACGUGAGUAACCUGCCUUUGUAUUUGGGAUAACUUCAGGAAACUGGGGCUAAUAACGGAUAGGAGCUCUUGCUGCCUGGAGGGGGUUGGAAAGUUUGGGCGGUUGGGGAUGGACUCGCGGUCUAUCAGCUUGUUGGUGGGGUAGUGGCUUACCAAGGCUUUGACGGGUCGCCGGCCUGAGAGGGUGCCCGGCCACAGUGGGACUGAGAGACGGCCCAGACUCCUACGGGAGGCAGCAGUGGGGAAUAUUGCACAAUGGGUGGAAGCCUGAUGCAGCAACGCCGUGUGCGGGAUGACGGCCUUCGGGUUGUAAACCGCUUUCGCUCAUGACGAAGCUUUGUGUGACGGUAGUGGGUAAAGAAGCACCGGCUAACUACGUG
RNAcentral lists this ribosomal RNA (467 nucleotides) under uncultured bacterium. RNAcentral's name for it is "partial 16S ribosomal RNA". It matches the Rfam family "Bacterial small subunit ribosomal RNA", at positions 28 to 507 of the family's 1533-position model. The record is from RNAcentral.